GAUGAACGCUGGCGGCGUGCCUAAUACAUGCAAGUCGAGCGAACAGACGAGGAGCUUGCUCCUCUGACGUUAGUGGCGGACGGGUGAGUAACACGUGGAUAACCUACCUAUAAGACUGGGAUAACUUCGGGAAACCGGAGCUAAUACCGGAUAAUAUAUUGAACCGCAUGGUUCAAUAGUGAAAGACGGUUUUGCUGUCACUUAUAGAUGGAUCCGCGCCGCAUUAGCUAGUUGGUAAGGUAACGGCUUACCAAGGCAACGAUGCGUAGCCGACCUGAGAGGGUGAUAGGCCACACUGGAACUGAGACACGGUCCAGACUCCUACGGGAGGCAGCAGUAGGGAAUCUUCCGCAAUGGGCGAAAGCCUGACGGAGCAACGCCGCGUGAGUGAUGAAGGUCUUCGGAUCGUAAAACUCUGUUAUUAGGGAAGAACAAAUGUGUAAGUAACUAUGCACGUCUUGACGGUACCUAAUCAGAAAGCCACGGCUAACUACGUG
Molecule: ribosomal RNA, 497 nt
Filed under: uncultured bacterium
Lineage: Bacteria
Description: partial 16S ribosomal RNA
Rfam family: Bacterial small subunit ribosomal RNA
Source: RNAcentral